GAGUUUGAUCCUGGCUCAGAUUGAACGCUGGCGGCGAUGCCUUACACAUGCAAGUCGAACGGCAGCACGGGCUUCGGCCUGGUGGCGAGUGGCGAACGGGUGAGUAAUACAUCGGAACGUGCCCUGUUGUGGGGGAUAACCAGUCGAAAGAUUGGCUAAAUACCGCAUACGACCUGAGGGUGAAAGCGGGGGACCGCAAGGCCUCGCGCAGCAGGAGCGGCCGAUGUCUGAUUAGCUAGUUGGUGGGGUAAAGGCCCACCAAGGCGACGAUCAGUAGCUGGUCUGAGAGGACGAUCAGCACACUGGGACUGAGACACGGCCCAGACUCCUACGGG
This 335-nucleotide ribosomal RNA is filed under the name uncultured beta proteobacterium. RNAcentral's name for it is "bacterial SSU rRNA". It matches the Rfam family "Bacterial small subunit ribosomal RNA", at positions 9 to 345 of the family's 1533-position model. The record is from RNAcentral. Lineage: Bacteria; Pseudomonadati; Pseudomonadota; Betaproteobacteria.